UGAGGAAUAUUGGUCAAUGGGCGCGAGCCUGAACCAGCCAAGUAGCGUGAAGGAUGAAGGUCCUACGGAUUGUAAACUUCUUUUAUAAGGGAAUAAAGUCACCCACGUGUGGGUGUUUGUAUGUACCUUAUGAAUAAGCAUCGGCUAACUCCGUGCCAGCAGCCGCGGUAAUACGGAGGAUGCGAGCGUUAUCCGGAUUUAUUGGGUUUAAAGGGAGCGUAGACGGGCCGUUAAGUCAGCUGUGAAAGUUUGAGGCUCAACCUUAAAAUUGCAGUUGAUACUGGCGUCCUUGAGUACGGUUGAGGCAGGCGGAAUUCGUGGUGUAGCGGUGAAAUGCUUAGAUAUCACGAAGAACCCCGAUUGCGAAGGCAGCCUGCUAAACCGCCACUGACGUUGAGGCUCGAAAGUGUGGGUAUCAAACAGGAUUAGAUACCCUGGUAGUCCACACGGUAAACGAUGGAUACUCGCUGUUGGCGAUAGACUGUCAGCGGCUUAGCGAAAGCGUUAAGUAUCCCACCUGGGGAGUACGCCGGCAACGGUGAAACUCAAAGGAAUUGACGGGGGCCCGCACAAGCGGAGGAACAUGUGGUUUAAUUCGAUGAUACGCGAGGAACCUUACCCGGGCUUGAAUUGCAGACGAAUUGCUUGGAAACAGGCAAGCCGCAAGGCGUCUGUGAAGGUGCUGCAUGGUUGUCGUCAGCUCGUGCCGUGAGGUGUCGGCUUAAGUGCCAUAACGAGCGCAACCCUCGUGUCCAGUUACUAGCAGGUUAUGCUGAGGACUCUGGACAGACUGCCAUCGUAAGAUGUGAGGAAGGUGGGGAUGACGUCAAAUCAGCACGGCCCUUACGUCCGGGGCUACACACGUGUUACAAUGGGGGGUACAGCAGGCAGCUACCGGGCGACCGGAUGCCAAUCCCGAAAGCCUCUCUCAGUUCGGAGUGGAGUCUGCAACCCGACUCCACGAAGCUGGAUUCGCUAGUAAUCGCGCAUCAGCCACGGCGCGGUGAAUACGUUCCC
Molecule: ribosomal RNA, 1017 nt
Filed under: uncultured bacterium
Lineage: Bacteria
Description: bacterial SSU rRNA
Rfam family: Bacterial small subunit ribosomal RNA
Source: RNAcentral